GAUGAACGCUGGCGGCGUGCCUAAUACAUGCAAGUCGAGCGAACAGACGAGGAGCUUGCUCCUCUGACGUUAGCGGCGGACGGGUGAGUAACACGUGGAUAACCUACCUAUAAGACUGGGAUAACUUCGGGAAACCGGAGCUAAUACCGGAUAACAUGUUGAACCGCAUGGUUCAACAGUGAAAGACGGUCUUGCUGUCACUUAUAGAUGGAUCCGCGCCGCAUUAGCUAGUUGGUAAGGUAACGGCUUACCAAUGCAACGAUGCGUAGCCGACCUGAGAGGGUGAUCGGCCACACUGGAACUGAGACACGGUCCAGACUCCUACGGGAGGCAGCAGUCGGGAAUCUUCCGCAAUGGGCGAAAGCCUGACGGAGCAACGCCGCGUGAGUGAAGAAGGUCUUCGGAUCGUAAAACUCUGUUAUUAGGGAAGAACAAAUGUGUAAGUAACUAUGCACGUCUUGACGGUACCUAAUCAGAAAGCCACGGCUAACUACGUG
This 497-nucleotide ribosomal RNA is filed under the name uncultured bacterium. RNAcentral's name for it is "partial 16S ribosomal RNA". It matches the Rfam family "Bacterial small subunit ribosomal RNA", at positions 28 to 507 of the family's 1533-position model. The record is from RNAcentral.